UACGUAGGUGGCUAGCGUUGUCCGGAAUCACUGGGCGUAAAGAGCGCGUAGGCGGCUUGCCAGGUCCGAUGUGAAAACCCGGGGCUUAACUCCGGGCCUGCAUCUUAAACCGGCUUGCUAGAGUCUGGGAGAGGAGAGUGGAAUUCCUGGUGUAGCGGUGAAAUGCGUAGAUAUCAGGAGGAACACCGGUAGCGAAUGCGGCUCUCUGGAACAGUACUGACGCUGAGGCGCGAAAGCUAGGGGAGCGAGCAGG
This 253-nucleotide ribosomal RNA is filed under the name uncultured bacterium. RNAcentral describes it as "partial 16S ribosomal RNA". It matches the Rfam family "Bacterial small subunit ribosomal RNA", at positions 524 to 776 of the family's 1533-position model. The record is from RNAcentral.